UCCAGCAUCCUAUUAAAACCAAACUCCUUCGCUAAUGAGCAAUUUCACAGCUGUCUGAUGAUUAUGGUUGUGUGUGUGCUUUUUUCUUGUCUAGACACAACCUUUAACUCAAUGUUCUGAAUCUCUUUCCUUACUUUGGUUUUCUUUCCAGAUUAUGAAGUCUGUUUUUCCAAACUCCAUAGCAAAAGUUCAGGUUCAAUGGACAAUCUUCCUUCAAAAUUCUCCUACUCCUGCUCUCUGUCCAGAUCCCAAAACACAAGAGCUUUCUUGGAGAGUUACAGGAAUUCAGCCGCAUGGAAAAGGCAAGCAGUAUGAGAGCCAAGGAACUCAACACGAACCGCCAUGUUAAGUUCUGUGCUGUGAAACUCUGCAAAUAUCACUUCCUGCUGUAAAUAUCACUAUCCUGGUCUACCAGAAUUGAUUUAGUCACAUUUGAGAAAGGCAAGAAGAAAAUGGUCCCCCUACUGAGAAAUAAUUACCUUCAUUUUAUGCCAAAUAA
Molecule: long non-coding RNA, 499 nt
Organism: Monodelphis domestica (gray short-tailed opossum)
Lineage: Eukaryota; Metazoa; Chordata; Mammalia; Didelphimorphia; Didelphidae
Source: RefSeq, a predicted model, not a curated record